This 536-nucleotide ribosomal RNA is filed under the name uncultured bacterium. RNAcentral's name for it is "bacterial SSU rRNA". It matches the Rfam family "Bacterial small subunit ribosomal RNA", at positions 776 to 1315 of the family's 1533-position model. The record is from RNAcentral.
AAAUAGAUACCCUGGUAGUCCACGCCCUAAACGAUGUCUACUAGUUGUCGGGGGGUAACUCCUUCGGUAACGCAGCUAACGCGUGAAGUAGACCGCCUGGGGAGUACGGUCGCAAGAUUAAAACUCAAAGGAAUUGACGGGGACCCGCACAAGCGGUGGAUGAUGUGGAUUAAUUCGAUGCAACGCGAAAAACCUUACCUACCCUUGACAUGCCACUAACGAAGCAGAGAUGCAUUAGGUGCCCGAAAGGGAAAGUGGACACAGGUGCUGCAUGGCUGUCGUCAGCUCGUGUCGUGAGAUGUUGGGUUAAGUCCCGCAACGAGCGCAACCCUUGCCAAUAGUUGCUACGAAAGGGCACUCUAUUGGGACUGCCGGUGACAAACCGGAGGAAGGUGGGGAUGACGUCAAGUCCUCAUGGCCCUUAUGGGUAGGGCUUCACACGUCAUACAAUGGCUGGUACAGAGGGUUGCCAACCCGCGAGGGGGGAGCCAAUCCCACAAAACCAGUCGUAGUCCGGAUUGCAGUCUGCAACUCGA